CUGGGUAGUUAAAUGGAAUAAAGAAAGAUGGUUGUGGACAGCAUGUCCACUGCAGGUUAGAUAAAAAACCUAUUUGUCUGUUGUUGGUACUUUCCAAUAUUCAAAUAGUUUUCUGAGAUUAUCCAGUCUGUUGUUUGAAUGUGAGGUUUCAUUGCCCUGCUGCUCUAUUCUAAUAAA
Salarias fasciatus (jewelled blenny) is the source of this 177-nucleotide long non-coding RNA. RefSeq lists it as uncharacterized. The transcript is spliced from 3 exons. The record is from RefSeq and is a predicted model, not a curated record. Lineage: Eukaryota; Metazoa; Chordata; Actinopteri; Blenniiformes; Blenniidae.